ACAACCAUGGCCAUCCUCCUGCAUGAGAUCCCCCAUGAGGUGGGCGACUUUGCCAUCCUGCUCCGGGCCGGCUUUGACCGAUGGAGCGCAGCCAAGCUGCAACUCUCAACAGCGCUGGGGGGCCUACUGGGUGCCGGCUUCGCCAUCUGUACCCAGUCCCCCAAGGGAGUAGAGGAGACGGCAGCCUGGGUCCUGCCCUUCACCUCUGGCGGCUUUCUCUACAUCGCCUUGGUGAACGUGCUCCCUGACCUCUUGGAAGAAGAGGACCCGUGGUGAGUGACCUGUUGGAGGAAGAGGACUGCCACUCACAGGACCCUUAGGGGCUCAGGAGGGAAGGGCUCCUGGCCGCUGCCUGCUCCCCCUGCCCAUGCCUCCACCGUGAGCCGUUCCCUCCCCACAGGCGCUCCCUGCAGCAGCUGCUUCUGCUCUGUGCGGGCAUCGUGGUAAUGGUGCUGUUCUCGCUCUUCGUGGAUUAACUUUCCCUGAUGCCGACGCCCCUGCCCCCUGCAGCAAUAAGAUGCUCGGAUUC
RNAcentral lists this small RNA (529 nucleotides) under Pan troglodytes (chimpanzee). RNAcentral describes it as "processed transcript". The record is from RNAcentral. Lineage: Eukaryota; Metazoa; Chordata; Mammalia; Primates; Hominidae.